UACGUAGGGUGCGAGCGUUGUCCGGAAUUAUUGGGCGUAAAGGGCUCGUAGGCGGUUUGUCGCGUCGGGAGUGAAAACCCAGGGCUUAACCCUGGGCUGGCUUUCGAUACGGGCAGACUAGAGGUAUGCAGGGGAGAACGGAAUUCCUGGUGUAGCGGUGAAAUGCGCAGAUAUCAGGAGGAACACCGGUGGCGAAGGCGGCAUCCUGGACCAACACUGACGCUGAGGAGCGAAAGCCAGGGGAGCAAACGGG
RNAcentral lists this ribosomal RNA (253 nucleotides) under uncultured bacterium. Its description in RNAcentral is "partial 16S ribosomal RNA". It matches the Rfam family "Bacterial small subunit ribosomal RNA", at positions 524 to 776 of the family's 1533-position model. The record is from RNAcentral.